This 60-nucleotide transfer RNA is filed under the name Grillotia pristiophori. RNAcentral's name for it is "tRNA-Cys". Lineage: Eukaryota; Metazoa; Platyhelminthes; Cestoda; Trypanorhyncha; Lacistorhynchidae. The record is from RNAcentral.
GAGUAUUCAGCUUAGUGGUCUUAGUUUUGCAAAAACUAUUGAGAAAAAAUUUUCAUUACU